This 809-nucleotide long non-coding RNA is filed under the name Manacus vitellinus (golden-collared manakin). Its description in RNAcentral is "lncRNA (ENSMVIG00005016564.1)". Lineage: Eukaryota; Metazoa; Chordata; Aves; Passeriformes; Pipridae. The record is from RNAcentral.
UUCUUCUUGAGAACACUGUAUCAAAAUUUCCAAUACAUCAUUUGAAAGAAUACUUGUAACAAAACGAUGCUAAAUAUUUGUAUUUCAGACAAGGUUUUCCCUGAGAUUUUUAGAGGACUGGACACAAGACAGUGUUCGUUCUCCUGUGGUCCUUUAUUCCAGACAGUGAGAACAUAUAAGUGCAAAUAGAGUCAAAAACAGGUAUCUUUUUUCAGGGUUCAUCUUCCUCAGGAAGCAGUCAUCAAGGAAAGCCAGGUGGCUCUGGCUCAGGAAGCACUUAUUCUGGAAAACAGUCACCUUCCUCUGGAGGCAGUCAAGUGAGCUCUGCUGGGAAACACUCCACUCCCCAACUCCUGAUGUUAUUCAGUGUUUUGAGUGCCUUUGCUCUCUCUGCUGCCACAUCAAAAUGGUCUAUAUGAACCUCCGAAGAGCUGUUUGACAACCUAAACAUGGAUUAUAUUCCAUAUUAUUAGAUUAAUUACUUAAUGUAAGAAAAAAAAUAUCCUUAAGUCAAAUUGUCAGAUGCUACUUGGCUGUUAUGUUGCAUGUCUAGCUGAUAUGUCAUGCCUUUCAUUAGUUUACCUCUGGUUUUAGUCAUUAGUAGAUAUCAUUAGUUUUGUCAGUGUUUUAGGCAUCAUUUUAAGAGAGCAUAUUGUACCCCACCUGUAUGAUUUAUUUGUAUUUCUGACAGGGAAUGCGAUGAACACCUGCCUGAAAUGACUGGUGUGACAAAUGAACACUUAGAAAGUAUUUGGUUAUUAACCAAAGUGGACGAGGUCAAAUAAAUUGUUAUAGAUGCGAGCUGAGCA